RNAcentral lists this ribosomal RNA (254 nucleotides) under uncultured bacterium. Its description in RNAcentral is "partial 16S ribosomal RNA". It matches the Rfam family "Bacterial small subunit ribosomal RNA", at positions 524 to 776 of the family's 1533-position model. The record is from RNAcentral.
UACGUAGGGUGCGAGCGUUGUCCGGAAUUAUUGGGCGUAAAGAGCUCGUAGGCGGUCUGUCGCGUCGGUCGUGAAAACUUGGGGCUUAACCCUGAGCUUGCGGUCGAUACGGGCAUGACUGGAGUUCGGUAGGGGAGACUGGAAUUCCUGGUGUAGCGGUGAAAUGCGCAGAUAUCAGGAGGAACACCAAUGGCGAAAGCAGGUACCUGGACUAGUACUGACACUCAGCUGCGAAAGCUAGGGGAGCAAACAGG